This 1482-nucleotide ribosomal RNA is filed under the name uncultured Bordetella sp. Its description in RNAcentral is "partial 16S-23S ribosomal RNA intergenic spacer". It matches the Rfam family "Bacterial small subunit ribosomal RNA". Lineage: Bacteria; Pseudomonadati; Pseudomonadota; Betaproteobacteria; Burkholderiales; Alcaligenaceae. The record is from RNAcentral.
UGGGGAGCAUGGUAUGCUGGAAGGGUUCGAUCUGUAGCUCCAGAUUGAACGCUGGCAGGAUGCUACAUGCAAGUCGGGCAGCAGCACGGACUUCGGUCUGGUGGCAUGAUGGCGAACGGGUGAUAUUACGUAUCGGAACGUGCCCUAGUAGCGAGGAUAACUACGCGAAAGCGUAGCUAAUACCACCUUACGCCCUUCGGGGAAAGCAGAGGCCUUCGGGCCUCGCACUGUUAGAAGCAGCCGAUAUCGGAUUAGCUGGAUUGGUGGGGUAACGGCUCACCAAGGCGACGAUCCGUAGCUGGUUUGAGGACGACCAGCCACACUGGGACUGAGACGGCAGACUCCUACAGGAGGCAGCAGUGGGGAAUUUUGGACAAUGGGGGAAACCUGAUCCAGCCAUCCCGCGUGUGCGAUGAAGGCCUUCGGGUUGUAAAGCACUUUUGGCAGGAAAACGGCACGGGGAUAAUACCCCGUGCAACUGACAGUACCUGCAGAAUAAGCACCGGCUAACUACGUGCCAGCAGCCGCGGUAAUACACGUAGGGUGCAAGCGUUAAUCGAAUUACUGGAACAUCAGCGUGCGGGCGGUUCGGAAGAAAGAUGUGAAAUCCCAGAGCUUAACUUUGGAACUGCAUUUUUAACUACCGAGCUAGAGUAUGUCAGAGGAGGUGGAAUUCCAUCAUGGCAGUGAAAUGCGUAGAUAUGCGGAGGGGAACACCGAUGGCGAAGGCAGCCUCCUGGGAUAACACUGACGCUCAUGCGCACAGCGUGGGGAGCAAACCAGGAUUAGAUACCUGGUAGUCCACGCCUAAACGAUGUCAACUAGCUGUUGGGGCCUUCGGGCCUUGGUAGCGCAGCUAACGCGUGAAGUUGACCGCCUGGGAAGUACGGUCAGAUUAAAACUCAAAGGAAUUGACGGGGACCCGCACAAGCGGUGGAUGAUGUGGAUUAAUUCGAUGCAACGCGAAAACCUUACCUACCCUUGACAUGUCUGGAAUCGAAGAGAUUUGGGAGUGCUCUGCAAGAGAACCGGAACACGGGUGCUGCAUGGCUGUCGUCAGCUCGUGUCGUGAAUCUUCUGGUUAAGUCCCACCAACGAGCGCAACCCUUGUCAUUAGUUGCUGCGAAAGGGCACUCUAAUGAGACUGCCGGUGACAAACCGGAGGAAGGUGGGGAUGACGUCAAGUCCUCAUGGCCCGCCAUCAGGUAGGGCUUCACAUCCGCCUGUGUGAAUUGGGACCGAAGGUCAGCAACCCGCGAGGAGCCAAUCCCGAAGCCCGAUCGUAGUCCGGAUCGCAGUCUGCAACUCGACUGCGUGAAGUCGGAAUCGCUAGUAAUCGCGGAUAAGCAUGUCAUGGUGAAUACGUUCCGGGUCUUGUACACCGCCGUACACGGGUGGUUUUGCGAAGCCGUUUAGCCUAACCGUAAGGAGGGCGAUUACCACGGUAAGAUUCGCUGACGGGUGAAGUCGUAACAAGGUAGC